RNAcentral lists this transfer RNA (73 nucleotides) under Camelus bactrianus (Bactrian camel). It matches the Rfam family "tRNA". Rfam says of the family: Transfer RNA (tRNA) molecules are approximately 80 nucleotides in length. Their secondary structure includes four short double-helical elements and three loops (D, anti-codon, and T loops). RNAcentral also lists the same sequence under 2 other names. The record is from Rfam by way of RNAcentral. Lineage: Eukaryota; Metazoa; Chordata; Mammalia; Artiodactyla; Camelidae.
GAGGGUACAGCUCAAGUGGUAGAGCACAUGCUUAGCAUGCAUGAGGUCCUAGGCUCAAGCCCCAGUACCUUGU